This 29-nucleotide non-coding RNA is filed under the name Mus musculus (house mouse). Lineage: Eukaryota; Metazoa; Chordata; Mammalia; Rodentia; Muridae. The record is from RNAcentral.
UAGAAAUGCCUCCUCUGCCUCUCAGCUUC